This 85-nucleotide transfer RNA is filed under the name Moniliophthora perniciosa FA553. It matches the Rfam family "tRNA". Rfam says of the family: Transfer RNA (tRNA) molecules are approximately 80 nucleotides in length. Their secondary structure includes four short double-helical elements and three loops (D, anti-codon, and T loops). Further hydrogen bonds mediate the characteristic L-shaped molecular structure. tRNAs have two regions of fundamental functional importance: the anti-codon, which is responsible for specific mRNA codon recognition, and the 3' end, to which the tRNAs corresponding amino acid is attached (by aminoacyl-tRNA synthetases). tRNAs cope with the degeneracy of the genetic code in two manners: having more than one tRNA (with a specific anti-codon) for a particular amino acid; and 'wobble' base-pairing, i.e. permitting non-standard base-pairing at the 3rd anti-codon position. The record is from Rfam by way of RNAcentral. Lineage: Eukaryota; Fungi; Basidiomycota; Agaricomycetes; Agaricales; Marasmiaceae.
GGCCGACUAGCUCAGUUGGUUAGAGCGUCGUGCUAAUAUCAUACUGUUAACGCGAAGGUCUUGGGUUCGAUCCCCACGUUGGCCA